This 706-nucleotide ribosomal RNA is filed under the name Mycobacterium sp. GWS-BW-H82M. RNAcentral's name for it is "bacterial SSU rRNA". It matches the Rfam family "Bacterial small subunit ribosomal RNA", at positions 23 to 748 of the family's 1533-position model. The record is from RNAcentral. Lineage: Bacteria; Bacillati; Actinomycetota; Actinomycetes; Mycobacteriales; Mycobacteriaceae.
CUCAGGACGAACGCUGGCGGCGUGCUUAACACAUGCAAGUCGAACGGAAAGGGCCUUCGGGGUACUCGAGUGGCGAACGGGUGAGUAACACGUGGGUGAUCUGCCCUGCACUUUGGGAUAAGCCUGGGAAACUGGGUCUAAUACCGAAUAUGACCAUGCGCUUCCUGGUGUGUGGUGGAAAGCUUUUGCGGUGUGGGAUGGGCCCGCGGCCUAUCAGCUUGUUGGUGGGGUAAUGGCCUACCAAGGCGACGACGGGUAGCCGGCCUGAGAGGGUGACCGGCCACACUGGGACUGAGAUACGGCCCAGACUCCUACGGGAGGCAGCAGUGGGGAAUAUUGCACAAUGGGCGCAAGCCUGAUGCAGCGACGCCGCGUGAGGGAUGACGGCCUUCGGGUUGUAAACCUCUUUCAGCACAGACGAAGCGCAAGUGACGGUAUGUGCAGAAGAAGGACCGGCCAACUACGUGCCAGCAGCCGCGGUAAUACGUAGGGUCCGAGCGUUGUCCGGAAUUACUGGGCGUAAAGAGCUCGUAGGUGGUUUGUCGCGUUGUUCGUGAAAACUCACAGCUUAACUGUGGGCGUGCGGGCGAUACGGGCAGACUUGAGUACUGCAGGGGAGACUGGAAUUCCUGGUGUAGCGGUGGAAUGCGCAGAUAUCAGGAGAACACCGUGGCGAAGGCGGGUCUCUGGGCAGUAACUGACGCUG